This 357-nucleotide ribosomal RNA is filed under the name uncultured bacterium. RNAcentral's name for it is "bacterial SSU rRNA". It matches the Rfam family "Bacterial small subunit ribosomal RNA", at positions 68 to 451 of the family's 1533-position model. The record is from RNAcentral.
GAUGGCUUUCGGGCCAUAGUGGCGCACGGGUGCGUAACGCGUGGGAAUCUGCCCUGGGGUCUGGGAUAACGUCGGGAAACUGACGCUAAUACCGGAUGAUGACGAAGGUCCAAAGAUUCAUCGCCCUGGGAUGAGCCCGCGUCGGAUUAGCUUGUUGGUGGGGUAAAGGCCCACCAAGGCGACGAUCCGUAGCUGGUCUGAGAGGAUGAUCAGCCACACUGGGACUGAGACACGGCCCAGACUCCUACGGGAGGCAGCAGUGGGGAAUAUUGGACAAUGGGCGAAAGCCUGAUCCAGCAAUGCCGCGUGAGUGAUGAAGGCCUUAGGGUUGUAAAGCUCUUUUGCCCGGGAAGAUAA